AUUGAACGCUGGCGGCAGGCCUAACACAUGCGAGUCGAGCGGAUGAAGGGAGCUUGCUCCUGGAUUCAGCGGCGGACGGGUGAGUAAUGCCUAGGAAUCUGCCUGGUAGUGGGGGAUAACGUCCGGAAACGAGCGCUAAUACCGCAUACGUCCUGAGGGAGAAAGUGGGGGAUCUUCGGACCUCACGCUAUCAGAUGAGCCUAGGUCGGAUUAGCUAGUUGGUGGGGUAAAGGCCUACCAAGGCGACGAUCCGUAACUGGUCUGAGAGGAUGAUCAGUCACACUGGAACUGAGACACGGUCCAGACUCCUACGGGAGGCAGCAGUGGGGAAUAUUGGACAAUGGGCGAAAGCCUGAUCCAGCCAUGCCGCGUGUGUGAAGAAGGUCUUCGGAUUGUAAAGCACUUUAAGUUGGGAGGAAGGGCAGUAAGUUAAUACCUUGCUGUUUUGACGUUACCAACAGAAUAAGCACCGGCUAACUUCGUG
This 484-nucleotide ribosomal RNA is filed under the name uncultured bacterium. RNAcentral describes it as "partial 16S ribosomal RNA". It matches the Rfam family "Bacterial small subunit ribosomal RNA", at positions 30 to 507 of the family's 1533-position model. The record is from RNAcentral.